AUUGAACGCUGGCGGCAGGCCUAACACAUGCAAGUCGAACGGUAACAGGAAGCAGCUUGCUGCUUCGCUGACGAGUGGCGGACGGGUGAGUAAUGUCUGGGAAGCUGCCUGAUGGAGUGGGAUAACUACUGGAAACGGUAGCUAAUACCGCAUAAUGUCGCAAGACCAAAGAGGGGGACCUUCGGGCCUCUUGCCAUCGGAUGUGCCCAGAUGGGAUUAGCUUGUUGGUGGGGUAACGGCUCACCAAGGCGACGAUCCCUAGCUGGUCUGAGAGGAUGACCAGCCACACUGGAACUGAGACGCGGUCCAGACUCCUACGGGAGGCAGCAGUGGGGAAUAUUGCACAAUGGGCGCAAGCCUGAUGCAGCCAUGCCGCGUGUAUGAAGAAGGCCUUCGGGUUGUAAAGUACUUUCAGCGGGGAGGAAGGGAGUAAAGUUAAUACCUUUGCUCAUUGACGUUACCCGCAGAAGAAGCACCGGCUAACUCCGUG
Molecule: ribosomal RNA, 490 nt
Filed under: uncultured bacterium
Lineage: Bacteria
Description: partial 16S ribosomal RNA
Rfam family: Bacterial small subunit ribosomal RNA
Source: RNAcentral